ACAAAUUAGCUUUGAGAACAAUAGAAACAAUUGUUAUCGUGAAUAGACUCUUAAAAUUCCAUCAAACUAAUUGUGCGAAACAAGAUUUUAAACUUCGCCGCAAUCAUUACAUCAAACAGAGGAGCAUCCAGUUAGCACCGAGUGGACAUCUCAUAAGGUUUAAGUGGGUGUGCUCUUAAGAUGAAAGUCUUUGCCGCGCUCUUCGUAUUGGCCCUCGUAGUGUCAAUCAACGCUCAUUACGGAGAUAAACCGGAAGUCAGUGACAAUGCUUUGCCUGAGCCUAAAACCGCUGACACUGUAAAUAAAGAGGGUGACCUUACUGCUGGGGAUUCAACUCUCGAAAAACCGGAUGACGAGGAUAAAGAGCCGGAUGUUAAAGGCAAAGAAUUGGAUGACGAAAAGGAAGACCCGGAUGAUGAAGAUGAUGGCGUCUUUCGACGCCGCUCCAUCUCGCGACGCCGCUCCAUCUCGCGACGCCGCUCCAUCUCGCGACGCCGCUCCAUCUCUCGCCGCCGCUCUAUCUCUCGACGCCGCUCCAUCUCUCGCCGCAGAUCCAUCUCUCGACGCCGCUCCAUCUCUCGCCGCCGCUCGAUCUCCCGACGCCGCUCCAUCUCCCGACGCCGCUCCAUCUCCCGACGCCGCUCCAUCUCACGACGCCGCUCCAUCUCCCGCCGCCGCUCCAUCUCUCGCCGCCGCUCCAUCUCUCGACGCCGCUCCAUCUCCCGACGCCGCUCCAUCUCUCGACGCCGCUCCAUCUCUCGACGCCGCUCCAUCUCUCGCCGCCGCUCCAUCUCCAGACGCCGCUCCAUCUCCCGCCGCCGCUCCAUCUCUCGCCGCCGCUCCAUCUCUCGACGCCGCUCCAUCUCCCGACGCCGCUCCAUCUCUCGACGCCGCUCCAUCUCUCGACGCCGCUCCAUCUCUCGCCGCCGCUCCAUCUCUCGCCGCCGCUCCAUCUCUCGACGCCGCUCCAUCUCCCGACGCCGCUCCAUCUCUCGACGCCGCUCCAUCUCUCGACGCCGCUCCAUCUCUCGCCGCCGCCCGAUCUCCAGACGCCGCUCCAUCUCUCGACGCCGUUAUGGCAAGAAGUAAAACAAGAAUACGGAUCGGAUCGAAGGAAACUGGAAAUGGAUGAGCCAUGGAAGAACACACUUCAACACUGUAGCAAACUUGACCAUAUAGAGUAAUCAACAGGAGAUAAAAACUUGCCUCUCAUAAAGAAAUGGUUUUGAAAUUUGAUGUAAUUUUCAUAGUUUGUCAAAAUAAAAGCGCAACAACAAAUAACCAAAACCCUUUGUAUUCCUAAAUCUUCUUCCCGAGAUAUUAUCAAGGAAGCAAAUGAAAACUCAGUGAUGUCUUCAAAGAGAUCAUAAGUCAAAAUUCCAAAGUUGCUAUCCAUCAUCCUUUCGCGCACGCCAGUAAGAUAUCGCAUUAAUAUUUUUUAAUAUUAUAUUGUAAUAUUCUAACAUAAUUAUGUGAUGAAAUCUCGUUUAAAGAAAUUAAAUUUUUGCACUGGUCUCGAACGACUUAACCACUUUUUUACAAUCAAGCUAGUAAAAGUCAAAUUUUUUAGAGGUAGGAAAUUCCACCGGGUCCUUGGUCGGACGUUUACUUUUAGAGUUGUUUGGAUUCAAUUCAGCAUAAAAUUGCGUUUUGAAACUUUCAUAAUUAGAUUAAGCAUCCGUGCGUAAAAAGAGCAGAAUAUAUAAAAUGCAUUGUUCAAUCAAUAAUCCCUUGAUUGUGUUUUUCUUUAAAAGAAUAAAGUUUGGCAAUAAAGCGCAUGAAGUGGGCGAAGAUGGACUCCUGCCAAAUAUGAGUAGGAAGGUUGUUGAUCGAUCCACAUGAGAGGGGCACCCAGUUGGCACCGUGUGGACAUCUCAUAAGAUUUAAGUGGGUGUGCUCUUAAGAUGAAAGUUUUUGCCGCGCUCUUCCUCUUGGCCCUCGUGGUGUCAAUCAACGCUAAUUCUGGAGAUCAACCGGAAGUCAGUGACAAUGCAAUGGAGCCUAAAACCGCUGACACAGUAGAAAAAGGGGGUGACGUUGUUGCAGGGGAUUCAACUUUUGAAAAACCGGGUGAAGAGGGUGAAGAGCCAGAUGAUGACGACGACGGUGACGACAAUGAACUUGAGGAGUCUGCGGUUCCUGAGACCGAUCCUAGCAAAGACCAGUAUGACGAUGACGGUGACGACAAUGAACUUGAAAAGUCUGAUAAAUCUUAUGUUACUGAAACUGAACCUAACAAAGAUCAGUCGCUAGAUGCAAAACCAUUUUUUUCUCAACGCCGCCGAUACAUCUCUCGACGCCGAUACAUCUCCCGACGCCGAUACAUCUCCCGACGCCGAUACAUCUCCCGACGCCGAUACAUCUCCCGACGGCGAUACAUCUCCCGACGCCGAUACAUCUCCCGACGCCGAUACAUCUCCCGACGGCGAUACAUCUCCCGACGCCGAUAUAUCUCCCGACGCCGAUACAUCUCCCGACGCCGAUACAUCUCUCGACGCCGAUACAUCUCUCGACGUCGAUACAUUUCUCGACGUCGAUUUAUCGCUCGUCGUCGCCGAUUUGGCAAGAAGUAAUUCUCAGAACCACAUUAGGUAAAACAAGAAUACGGAUCGGAUCGAAGGAAACUGGAAAUGGAUGAGCCAUGGAGAACACACUUCAACACUGUAGCAAACUUGGCCCAAUAGAGUAAUCAACAGGGGAUAAAAACUUGCCUCUCAUAAAGAAAGGGUUUUGAAAUUUGUACAACUCGAUGUAAUUUCCAUAGUGUGUCAAAAUAAAAGCGUUACGCUUGUUACGCCGCAAAAUGUAAUGAUCAACACAAAAUGAAGUCUUACCGCGAAAUGUAAUAACUGUCAACGCGAAAUGUAAUACCUUUCAACGCAAAAUGUAAUACAAGUUGAACGCUAAAUGUAAUAACUUUUUAACGCAAAAUGUAAUAAAAUAUUUAACGCGAAAUGUAAUAACUUUAUCUAUUGACUAAUAGUUCUAGCAAUAUUUGGUAAAUUAUGAAAUGUUAACACGUAGAGACAAACAGAAGGAAUCAUUUAUUAAAAGAAAGGCUGUGCGA
Molecule: RNA transcript, 3067 nt
Organism: Nematostella vectensis (starlet sea anemone)
Lineage: Eukaryota; Metazoa; Cnidaria; Anthozoa; Actiniaria; Edwardsiidae
Gene name: serine/arginine repetitive matrix protein 2-like
Exons: 8
Source: RefSeq, a predicted model, not a curated record